UUCACAAUUUGAGUUGAAUUACUGAAAUAAAUGAACUUUUCCACAACAUUCUAAUUUAUUGAGAUGCACCUGUGUGUGUGUGUGUGUGUGUGUGUGUGUAUAUAUUACAAGUGGGCAUUGAGCAAAUUUGAUCAUAAUAAAAAUUGACUAUAUGACCCCUUUAAUGUUGCGUUACCUUGUUCAAUGUGUUUGAGACCCUCCAUUAUUUUUAGGUGUAACUAAAAUGUUUUGGUGUUGUGAAAGAUUCCAGAUUGCUGGAGGAAAAGAGAUGAGCAGCCCACCAGUACAGAUUUUCUGAAAGUACUCACAAAGAAACAUGUGUUGAACUGCUCUGUUGCAGUGUUUGCAGUGUUCAAAUGUGAUCUGAAUCUCAUGAAAAAUAAAUGGAAGUUCUACAACAUCUCUAGCAAUGUGACCUCUGGGUGGAUUGAGCAGAUUGGGUUUAGAUUGGCUUCUUUUCAGCUGAUCAGUACAGCAUCUCUAGAUUUUGAUGAGAUCAAAUAUAUUUACUUCUCUGACUCCCUCAGCCCUGCACAAGUUUGCAAGUAACACAUAUGCAUUCACUGAAGCCUAUCAUUUUCUAAUUGUUACAUGUACAACCUGAGAUAAGUGCAUACGUUUUAUAAUAUUUUAAAUGGUAUACUUCAUUCUAUGCUUUAAACAUGAUGAAAUGUUUAGACUUUACCUUUUGGUUUCAAAGGUAAAUAUUCAGGUGGAGGUCUAUGAGGAACCCAGUCUCAUCAAGGAGGUCACUGGAGGUGUUAUUGGAGGACUGUUGCUCUUCUGUCUCAUUACAGCUGUCCUCGUUAAGGUACAAUACACCAGCCUUUUCAUAAUUCUUAAAUACACUAAAUUGCCAAAAGUUUGUGGAUACCUGAACACCAACAUUCAUGUGAUUUGUUGAACCAUUAUUUUCAAAACCAUAGGGACUAAUCCCACACUUUAUUGCUAUAACAACUUCCACUCUUCUGGAAAGGCUUUCCACUUGAUGUUGAAAUAGAGCUGCAGGGAUUUGCUCCCAUUAAGACACAAGAACAUCAGUGCACUAAUGUUGGGUGAUUGGGCCUGGCUUGCAGUCAGCGUCCAAUUCAUCCCAAAGGUUUUCAGUGGGGUUCAGGUCUGUGCAGGCCAGUCAAGUUCUUCCAAACCAGACUCAGUACAUAAUAUGCACCUUGCUUCGUGCUCAGGGGCAUUGUCAUGCUGUAACAGGAAAGGCCCCCUCCCCAAACUACAAAGUUGGAAGCACACAAUUCUUUAGAAUGCCACUGUUCACUGCAGCAUAAAGAUGUGUAUUCACUGAAAUUAACAGAAUAGCCAAACAUGUUAAUUAAAAGGGGGUGUCCACAAACUUUUUGCCAUAUAGUGAAGUAACAACACAAUGUAUAAUAAAUUCAUAAUGUCUCUGUCACAGUCUGUCUCCCUCACGUUUUCCAAGGACUCUUAUUUUGAAGUUUUCCCCAGACUACAUUUCCCACGGUACACUGCCCUCAUCAGCCAUCUGUUCCCCAUCAUCCUCACCUGUCUUCCAUUCAAUCAUUAGUUCUGUUUGUGUAUAAAUACCCUCCUGUUUUGUUCACUGAUUUUCAGUUCUCGUCCAUGUAAUCCUGAUGUUAGUGUGUUUGGUUCUUUGUUUACUCCACGGUGUUUGUUAACUUCAUCAUCCUCACCUUCAUUAAAAGCCUGUAUAUUGAUCCAUCACCUCUCGCCUCAUCUCAACUACACACCAUACUUGCGUGACAGAAGAACUGACUGACAAAGAUGGAUCUACCGGCUGUUAGAAUCCUCCUCCUUGAGCAAGGGUACCGUCCGGUUGAGGAUCACGUGCGUUUGUUUCUCUUGCUUGCAAAUUUGGUGCACUAUGGAGACCACUCUCCCUUCAUUCCCUCUGUCCCACCUCGGCUCUAUGUCCCUUUUGGCUCCACCAUGGUCCUUCAGUCAAUUGGCUUCUCCGGGGUCCCUCCAGCUCCCCCUUGGUCAGUCGGUCACCUACGCGUUGUCACUCUGAGCCUCCGGUUUCACCGGGGACCUCCUUCCCUUCGGCACCGCCUCGGUCCUCCGAUCCUUCGGCUACUCUCCGGGCACAAAGUUCCCUGGCUACGCCCCUCGAGCCUCUCACGACUCUGCCUUCCCUGGCUGCUCCUCCCUUGGCUCCACCCCUUGAGCCUUCCACGGCUCUGCCUCCUGUCCCUGCUCUGUGGCUGCCUCCCAGGCCUCUGGAUCCCACCCCAGCCUGAGGCCGCCUCCCAGGCCUAUGGAUCCCGGCCCUGAGGCCGCCUCCCAAUCCCAGCCCUGAGGCUGACACCCAGAUCUCCUGACUCUACUCCUGGAUCCUCCCCAGUCACCUGUUUCCUCCUGCCCUUCUCCAUCUUUAUGUGCCAGGAGCCGCGUAGUAGUAGUAGUAGUAGUAGUAGUAGUAGUAGUAGUAGUAGUAGUAGUAGUAGUAGUAGUAGUAGUAGUAGUAGUAGUAGUAGUAGUAGUAGUAGUAGUAGUAGUAGUAGUAGUAGGUCUGUUUCCCUCAUAUUUUCCAAGGACUCUUAUUUUGUUUUCCCCCGGACUACAUUUCCCAUGGUACACUGCCCUCAUCAGCCAUCUGUUCCCUAUCAUCCUCACCUGUCUUCCAUUCCAUCAUUAGUUCCGUUUGUGUAUAAAUACCCUCCUGUUUCAUUGAUUUUUCAGUUCUCGUCCGUGUAACCCUGAUGUUGGUGUGUUUGGUUCUUUUGUUUACUCCAUGGUGUUUAUCUUCACCUUCAUUAAAAGCCUGUAUAUUGAUCCAUCGCCUCAUCUCAACUACACACCAUACUUGCAUGAGAGUCUCUUUGUUUCUAUUAUUGGCUGUUUUUUUUUUCAAAAGAAAUCCAUACAACUGAUGAAAAGUACAAUACAAGAAGCUGAGUUUUACAAUCUAAAUGAAAAUUAAUGUUAAACUGAUGAAUUCUUCUACUGUAGUUCUAGCAUAGAACUUGUGAAUAUGUAUAUUAGGACUGUCAAUAAAUGAAAAUAAUUGUAGAAAAUCUAGACCAGGAUUUCUGUGUUUCUUUUCUGUUCUUAUGAUUGAUUUGUUAAUAGUUUUAAACUUAUUUGCCUGUCUACAUUUUACUCAAUCUCAUCAUUGAUUGGUCCAACCCUCAACACAAUUUUCAACCAACCACCCACAAAUAAAGAAUGAUUGUGAUUUUCAGUUCCUGUGUUUUAAUGGACACACCCAAUCCCCUACAUGUGAACUCCUAACCCGAGCCCUUAAUCAAAUUAAUUGGACAUAUCAAUAUUUGCUGAGAAAAGCCCAUAAAUGAGAAUAAUUAAAAGAUAUUACAUUAUUGUGUCAGACAAAAGCAAGCUCUGCAAAGCCAUGCAUUGUGUGAGGAACUGAAUGAAAUUUAUGUUGAUAGUCACUCAAAAUCAUUCCCUCUGCUCCGUUGUCAAAUCUAGUUCACACAUAUCUAUUUUCAGAUCUGCUGCGUCAAGAAACAUCACGCAAGGUUUGACAAAUUACACCGUUGGUUACCAUAUGUUUGUAACCAAAUGCAAUGUGCAAAGUUUGAAUAUUAGACUGCUCCUUUAGAGCUGUUCCUUUACAGUUGUGUAAUAAAGAAAAGUGUAAUAAUUGUAUGUUGACCUUUCUGUUGAUUUAAAUGUCCUGUUAGAAAAAAAAAAAGUGAAGUGAAUAAUAGUAAUGUCGCUAUCACUCUACGCAAGAGAACACUUUAUAGAAACAUCCUUACUUGGCUUUAGUCACAGUAUCCAUAAUCACUAUCUAUUUCCUAUAUGUCUAGCACUAAUGAAUGUCAUUGCAUUAUGCACAGUUCUGUUUGUAUCUGUCAUACUUGGAUAAAGAAACUCUUUCUACCACAGUUACUAGAACAACAGUAUGGGGGUUUUAUAUACUGUAGAUUUAAACAGUCCAAUGCCUCAUUACUUUUCCAAGUGCUUUUCAUUAACAAACAGAUGUUGAAAUACAAUAACUGUA
Molecule: long non-coding RNA, 3964 nt
Organism: Myxocyprinus asiaticus (Chinese sucker)
Lineage: Eukaryota; Metazoa; Chordata; Actinopteri; Cypriniformes; Catostomidae
Exons: 3
Source: RefSeq, a predicted model, not a curated record